GCCUGUUUAGCUCAGUUGGUAGAGCAGCUGAUUUGUAAUCAGCAGGCCGGGGGUUCAAAUCCGUCAACAGGCUCCA
RNAcentral lists this transfer RNA (76 nucleotides) under Clostridia bacterium. RNAcentral's name for it is "tRNA-Thr". It matches the Rfam family "tRNA". Rfam says of the family: Transfer RNA (tRNA) molecules are approximately 80 nucleotides in length. Their secondary structure includes four short double-helical elements and three loops (D, anti-codon, and T loops). Further hydrogen bonds mediate the characteristic L-shaped molecular structure. tRNAs have two regions of fundamental functional importance: the anti-codon, which is responsible for specific mRNA codon recognition, and the 3' end, to which the tRNAs corresponding amino acid is attached (by aminoacyl-tRNA synthetases). tRNAs cope with the degeneracy of the genetic code in two manners: having more than one tRNA (with a specific anti-codon) for a particular amino acid; and 'wobble' base-pairing, i.e. permitting non-standard base-pairing at the 3rd anti-codon position. The record is from RNAcentral. Lineage: Bacteria; Bacillati; Bacillota; Clostridia.